RNAcentral lists this ribosomal RNA (253 nucleotides) under uncultured bacterium. RNAcentral describes it as "partial 16S ribosomal RNA". It matches the Rfam family "Bacterial small subunit ribosomal RNA", at positions 524 to 776 of the family's 1533-position model. The record is from RNAcentral.
UACGGAGGGCGCGAGCGUUACCCGGAUUUACUGGGCGUAACGGGCGUGUAGGCGGCUUGGGGCGUCCCAUGUGAAAGGCCACGGCUCAACCGUGGAGGAGCGUGGGAUACGCUCAGGCUAGACGGUGGGAGAGGGUGGUGGAAUUCCCGGAGUAGCGGUGAAAUGCGCAGAUACCGGGAGGAACGCCGAUGGCGAAGGCAGCCACCUGGCUCACUGGUGACGCUGAGGCGCGACAGCGUGGGGAGCUAACCGG